Molecule: small nuclear RNA, 107 nt
Filed under: Jaculus jaculus (lesser Egyptian jerboa)
Lineage: Eukaryota; Metazoa; Chordata; Mammalia; Rodentia; Dipodidae
Source: RNAcentral
UGCUGAGGUUGUUACUGCCGCACUGUGAAAACGGAACAAUACAGGAAAGACUAGCAUGGCCCCUGCACAAGGACGACUCGCAAAUUCACAAAGUGUUCCAUUUUUUA